CAUAGCGGUGCUUGUUGGUGUCAUCCUAUUGUCCUUUGGUUUGCAUGGCUUUUGCAAGUCGUGUGAGUUGGGGUGCAUUAGAUGGCGUUGGCAUAGUGUACGUAAGGCGCGUGAGUGGUGUUUGGUUUGUUUGGGUGGGUUGGAUCCCUGCUUGUGCAGCGACGACCGCUCUUUCAUUCCUUUUCAUUCUUGAUCCAAGAGCAGUAAGCCUUGGAACAACUCGGUUGCCUGUGUUUUAUACCUAUGUUGAUGGAAUUCGUUUGUCCAAUUGCCCCUAAUUCAACUUGUGCUUCUCACGCGGUGCGAGAUGAACCAUGUAGUGUCCUUUGUUGUCCCUUCUUGCCUUGCGCUUGCGCGUCGCAUGAAAUGGCCAAUGUUGCGACACUCGAACUCUCGGAUACGGAACCUUAAGCGGGCAAAGGGUCUUUGGCCUCGAUUUGCCUAAACUAAGCGUUCUCGCUU
Molecule: unclassified non-coding RNA, 462 nt
Filed under: Panax quinquefolius
Lineage: Eukaryota; Viridiplantae; Streptophyta; Magnoliopsida; Apiales; Araliaceae
Description: partial external transcribed spacer
Source: RNAcentral